Lipomyces starkeyi NRRL Y-11557 is the source of this 74-nucleotide transfer RNA. It matches the Rfam family "tRNA". From Rfam's summary of the family: Transfer RNA (tRNA) molecules are approximately 80 nucleotides in length. Their secondary structure includes four short double-helical elements and three loops (D, anti-codon, and T loops). The record is from Rfam. Lineage: Eukaryota; Fungi; Ascomycota; Lipomycetes; Lipomycetales; Lipomycetaceae.
GCCUCGGUGGCUUAGUUGGUUAAAGCGUGAGUCUCAUAAUCUCAAGGUCGUGGGUUCGACUCCCUCCUGAGGCA